RNAcentral lists this transfer RNA (68 nucleotides) under Byrrhinus sp. BYR01. RNAcentral describes it as "tRNA-Ser". The record is from RNAcentral. Lineage: Eukaryota; Metazoa; Arthropoda; Insecta; Coleoptera; Limnichidae.
AGUUAAUGAACUUGUUAUAAGUAUAUAUUUUGAAAAUAUAAUAAAGGGUUUUAACUCCCUAUUAACUU